This is a long non-coding RNA of Xenopus tropicalis (tropical clawed frog), 889 nucleotides long. RefSeq lists it as uncharacterized. Lineage: Eukaryota; Metazoa; Chordata; Amphibia; Anura; Pipidae. The record is from RefSeq and is a predicted model, not a curated record. The transcript is spliced from 3 exons.
GUGAGUGCGGUUCUCAGUGCUUACUUGGGGAUUCCAUGGAGGAGGAGUUCUCUAUUAGAGUCUGGGUAGCAUUAUUUAUUUAUUGGGACAGGAUUAAAUGCAGGAGUUUAUUAAGUUCUUGCCUGAAUACUGGGGCACUUUCUGUUCAGUAAGGCUGUGGAUCUAUUACGAAUUUGUUUGUCUCUUGGUACAGAGCAGCAAGUACAUUUGCAAACAUAUUCGCUAAAUGGAGGGAAAGAUACUGCAGCUGUAAACCGGAUUAAAGGAAAAGUAAAGUUACAACAUGCUGUCAUGUUUAUGGUACAUAAUCGGUGCUGCAAAACUUCUUUCUUCAACUGCUAAAGUUCAUUGCUAUCUUAAAUGUGUCUUCAUAUUCAUUGAUAACAUCAAGCAACUGUGAAAAUUUUGACAUCACUAUCCUAUGGGACAUCAAACAGUGCUUUAGCACUACCUUUGCUGGCAUCCCAUCUACCGUAAUUGGAAGGUGUGCAGGGACAUAAGUAAGUUUGAGAUCUGCUGCUUCCAUCUACCAGGUGGCAGGAAUUAGCCUUGCAAUCAUACAUAUACCUCAAACCUGCAGGCUUCUUUUUCACAAACAAAACAGAGGAAGCAUUCAUUUUCCAUUUUUUUUUUUGAGAAAAGGAUUAAAUUUUAACUCAUGUCACAAAUGCCACUCCACCAAAUUCAUCAGGGGAAGCAGUUUAUUUACUGGUGCCUGCUACACUAAGAGGGAUUAGAGUGGCAUUAUACUGGAACCUGAUGUUGAUGCAGUUCUUCCCACCACAGCUGGAAAGCCUUGACAACAUGCUGUUUGACAAGGACCCAAUCUCCUGGAGCAAGGGUAUACAUUUCUGGAAUAUCUGCUGGAUCUGGCAAUAAAGAAUACACU